This 165-nucleotide small RNA is filed under the name Marmota monax (woodchuck). Lineage: Eukaryota; Metazoa; Chordata; Mammalia; Rodentia; Sciuridae. The record is from RNAcentral.
GCCGGGUGUGGUGGCGCACACCUAUAAUCCCAGUGACUCAGGAAGCUGAGGUAGGAGGAUCCAAGUCUGAGCCCAGCCAGGGUGAUUUACUAAGACCCUGUAUCACUGGGGAUGUAGCUCAGUGGGUUCAAUCCUGGGUUCAAGCCCCUGGAUCCAAUCCCUCAU